UCUGGAAAGGGGCGACAUAGAGGGUGAAAUCCCCGUCUUUGGCCUGAGUUUNGAAUAGGCGUUUGGCUUGGAAACGAAGAGUCAGGUUGUUUGGGAAUGCAGCCUAAAAUGGGAGGUAAAUCUCUCCUAAAGCUAAAUAUUGACGAAAGACCGAUAGCGAACAAGUACCGGGAGGGAAAGAUGAAAAGCACUUUGAAAAGAGGGUCAAAAAGUACGUGAAAUUGCUGAAAGGGAACCGUAUGAAAUCAGACCUACUGGUAGGUAACCAAUCUUUCCUNUGGGAAGGAUGCACUUGCCUACUAUGUACGCCNGCGACNUUUUGGAAGGGAGGAAAAAAAUAAAGGAA
RNAcentral lists this ribosomal RNA (346 nucleotides) under soil fungal sp. DM2-184. Its description in RNAcentral is "eukaryotic LSU rRNA". It matches the Rfam family "Eukaryotic large subunit ribosomal RNA", at positions 189 to 536 of the family's 3401-position model. Lineage: Eukaryota; Fungi. The record is from RNAcentral.